RNAcentral lists this ribosomal RNA (911 nucleotides) under Aspergillus astellatus. RNAcentral describes it as "LSU rRNA". It matches the Rfam family "Eukaryotic large subunit ribosomal RNA", at positions 38 to 964 of the family's 3401-position model. The record is from RNAcentral. Lineage: Eukaryota; Fungi; Ascomycota; Eurotiomycetes; Eurotiales; Aspergillaceae.
GCAUAUCAAUAAGCGGAGGAAAAGAAACCAACCGGGAUUGCCUCAGUAACGGCGAGUGAAGCGGCAAGAGCUCAAAUUUGAAAUCUGGCCCCUCCGGGGUCCGAGUUGUAAUUUGCAGAGGAUGCUUCGGGUGCGGCCCCUGUCUAAGUGCCCUGGAACGGGCCGUCAGAGAGGGUGAGAAUCCCGUCUUGGGCAGGGUGCCCGUGCCCGUGUGAAGCUCCUUCGACGAGUCGAGUUGUUUGGGAAUGCAGCUCUAAAUGGGUGGUAAAUUUCAUCUAAAGCUAAAUACCGGCCGGAGACCGAUAGCGCACAAGUAGAGUGAUCGAAAGAUGAAAAGCACUUUGAAAAGAGAGUUAAACAGCACGUGAAAUUGUUGAAAGGGAAGCGCUUGCGACCAGACUCGGCCCUGGGGUUCAGCCAGCACUCGUGCUGGUGUACUUCCCCAGGGGCGGGCCAGCGUCGGUUUGGGCGGCCGGUCAAAGGCCCCAGGAAUGUAUCGCCCUCCGGGGUUGUCUUAUAGCCUGGGGUGCAAUGCGGCCAGCCCGGACCGAGGAACGCGCUUCGGCACGGACGCUGGCGUAAUGGUCGCAAACGACCCGUCUUGAAACACGGACCAAGGAGUCUAACAUCUACGCGAGUGUUCGGGUGUCAAACCCGUACGCGCAGUGAAAGCGAACGGAGGUGGGAGCCCCCCCGGGGCGCACCAUCGACCGAUCCUGAUGUCUUCGGAUGGAUUUGAGUAAGAGCGUAGCUGUGGGGACCCGAAAGAUGGUGAACUAUGCCUGAAUAGGGCGAAGCCAGAGGAAACUCUGGUGGAGGCUCGCAGCGGUUCUGACGUGCAAAUCGAUCGUCAAAUUUGGGUAUAGGGGGCGAAAGACUAAUCGAACCAUCUGGUAGCUGGUUCCUGCCGA